GGGGACGUUACGGAUUCGACGGGGAUAGUUCGAACUCGGGCUGCAGGUCGAGGCGACGACUCGACAACGUCAUUUGCCUAAAUAUAACUGGCGAAUCUGAAGACAACCUAGCUCUAGCAGCGUAAGCUGGCUUGAGCGAUCCUUCCCGGCAUCGCCUGUGUGCCGGUGCAAGGGUCUCAAACUGAAGCAGGCUACGCGUUUCUCCACCAUCUGAGGAGAAACGAAGAGACUAAUCAGAUUAGCGUCUGCGAUAAGCCGGUCGAUAGGCUGAGCAGUUCGCGAAUCAGAAUAUAUCGACUAAGCUUGUAGAUGCCCGAGUGCCGAUAUCUCCGGACGCGGGUUCGACUCCCGCCGUCUCCACCA
RNAcentral lists this transfer-messenger RNA (363 nucleotides) under Salimicrobium album. RNAcentral's name for it is "Standard tmRNA". It matches the Rfam family "transfer-messenger RNA". From Rfam's summary of the family: Bacterial tmRNA, also known as 10Sa RNA or SsrA, is named for its dual tRNA and mRNA-like properties. Its role is to liberate the mRNA from a stalled ribosome. Lineage: Bacteria; Bacillati; Bacillota; Bacilli; Caryophanales; Bacillaceae. The record is from RNAcentral. RNAcentral also lists the same sequence under 3 other names.